GUAAUGAGAGUCACUAUAUUUCUUAGCUCCAUUCCAAAAUAUUAACUGGGGAGCUGCUCAUUUAUAAUAGUGCCAAACUUCUGACAGACAGAAAUUAUAAAAGAGGCCCCAGAAAAGCAUCAGAAAAAAAGGGAAACUUUUAAACAGAAAUGGUAAUUUGAAAUACUGACCCUAGGUUUAAAAUUUAGAAAAGGCCUGUUUUCUGGAGCAGUCAUCUGGAUGGUCCAACAGCUCCCUCUACUCCUCCAAGAGGGAAACAUGAAACACAGCAGGGCUGUGUGGAAGUGUGAGCAGCCCAGGCUUGGGGAAAGCCACAUGUUUCCUUGUUCCAGCCAGGAGCUCCAAAAUGGCCUCGUCCGGGACAUGGACGGGGCAGGUGACUGUUUCACGCUGUCAUGGGACACAUCAACUUCCAUCCCUGCUUUACCAUAUUAAAUGCUCUACAGUGGAGCUUACUUGAAGAAACUGAAAAUUUGAGCAGGAAAACUUCAGCCAAAUCAAAUGUAAAGGAGUUUAAUUGAGCAAUGAACGAUUCGCGAAUCGGGCAGCCCCCAGAAUCACAGCAGAUUCCAACAGCAACCCCAAGGGUGCCUCGUGGUCAGAAUACAUUUAUAGGCAAAAAAGGGAAUCUGGUGCAUAUUCAUGAGGCUACGCUACCUUCAGACUAACGUGAGCCAUCGGUCCUAUUAAAUAACAUAACUCACCUAAAGCAGAGAAUCCAUGGACCCAGUAGAAGUAAAUUGCUGACCCAGUUAAAAUCUAUGGAGAAUGUGUCCUACGGCAUAUCCACGAAUAUACCUUCAAAAGGAAAGAGGUUAUGUCCAAGCGAAGAUGAGGAAUAUCUGAGGUGAAACUUC
This 857-nucleotide long non-coding RNA is filed under the name Homo sapiens (human). Its description in RNAcentral is "long non-coding RNA NONHSAT202151.1". The record is from RNAcentral. Lineage: Eukaryota; Metazoa; Chordata; Mammalia; Primates; Hominidae.